AUACAACAUUCUCGGAAGACCAGGUUCGUUUCCAAUUCAAAUUUUGUAUUUAAAGAUUCAACCCUACAUAUUUAGUUUACUAUAAUAUACUUAGCUAUAAUUUGUCGCGCUUGAGAUACGUAGAUGCCGGGUUGCCAGUUAUUAAUAUCUGUAGGAAAUCAUUUUAGGAUUGGAUAAAAGAUGGCGGUAAUGAUUUAUAAACUUUAAGGUCUUUAAGUUGGUAUGGUAAAAUGUCAGAUAUGAUGAUAAGGUAAAUUUGGAGUUUUUGAGGUUUCGAGGUGACGAAAUUCCGUCGACUCGGCCAUUUCGCAAACGAUUCGGCUGGUAUCCAGAAGUGUAGUGGCUCGCGUGUGAACUUUUUCCUUUAGUUCUUUGGACAAGUUCCUUUUCAUUUAACUUUUUCCUUCAAACCUAUUUAAGUUCUACGGUUUGCGAACCGUUCUUUUUCAUCGAGUCACCUUUCUGUGUGACCUUUCUUUACAUACCAAGAAGCGCUCGUUCAACGGGCGCUUGGUAUAGGCUGGUUUUUUCUCAUACCCGUUUCUGCGGAAACGAUCCCGACGGUGGAACUCUCCACGUGGUUUUGCGAAACCUAACCUCCAAUUCGGAACCGAUCCUGCAACCGGGCACCCCUCGUGUCCCCUGCUCCACUCGUGCGUGCUGCUAAGGCCCGCCUUUCGGGGCAGUCAAACGGAGGUCGAGGUAAUUCG
Culex quinquefasciatus (southern house mosquito) is the source of this 710-nucleotide long non-coding RNA. RefSeq lists it as uncharacterized. The record is from RefSeq and is a predicted model, not a curated record. The transcript has 3 exons. NCBI's taxonomy places the organism in Eukaryota, Metazoa, Arthropoda, Insecta, Diptera, Culicidae.